UACACUAGAUAAGCUCAAUAACUUAUCUAGUUAGAUUUAGGAUUAGAUCGUAUCUUUUUCCUUUCGUUAUAAAUAGGAUUCAAGUCUUUGUAUCAACAUCAUUGAUUUGAAAGUAAUAAAGAAAACUCGUAGCCUUUGCUACAAAAGAGCUUGUGUUUCAAGCCCUGAGAGGAGGACUCUCGCAUCGAUUCCGUCUCGCCAUCACUCCAUCUUCAUUGAUCCAUCUCUCUCUCUUUCACGAACCCAUCGGUUUCGUUCUCCGUUUAUACCACACGUGCUCUGUUUUUGUGUCUAA
This is a long non-coding RNA of Arabidopsis thaliana (thale cress), 295 nucleotides long. RefSeq annotates it as other RNA. The record is from RefSeq. The transcript has a single exon. Lineage: Eukaryota; Viridiplantae; Streptophyta; Magnoliopsida; Brassicales; Brassicaceae.